RNAcentral lists this ribosomal RNA (489 nucleotides) under uncultured bacterium. RNAcentral describes it as "bacterial SSU rRNA". It matches the Rfam family "Bacterial small subunit ribosomal RNA", at positions 28 to 507 of the family's 1533-position model. The record is from RNAcentral.
GAUGAACGCUAGCGGCAGGCUUAAUACAUGCAAGUCGAGGGGCAGCAUGACUGUAGCAAUACAGUUGAUGGCGACCGGCAAACGGGUGCGGAACACGUACAGAACCUUCCUUCGAGCGGGGAAUAGCCCAGAGAAAUUUGGAUUAAUACCCCAUAGUACAACGGAGUGGCAUCACUUUGUUGUUAAAGAUUUAUCACUUGAAGAUGGCUGUGCGGCUGAUUAGGUAGUUGGCGGGGUAACGGCCCACCAAGCCUGCGAUCAGUAACUGGUGUGAGAGCACGACCAGUCACACGGGCACUGAGACACGGGCCCGACUCCGUACGGGAGGCAGCAGUAAGGAAUAUUGGUCAAUGGACGAAAGUCUGAACCAGCCAUGCCGCGUGGAGGAUGAAGGUCCUCUGGAUUGUAAACUUCUUUUAUAUGGGACGAAAAAAGGGUUUUCUAACUCGUCUGACGGUACCAUAUGAAUAAGCACCGGCUAACUCCGUG